Long non-coding RNA from Columba livia (rock pigeon), 2524 nucleotides. RefSeq lists it as uncharacterized. The transcript is spliced from 2 exons. NCBI's taxonomy places the organism in Eukaryota, Metazoa, Chordata, Aves, Columbiformes, Columbidae. The record is from RefSeq and is a predicted model, not a curated record.
GCACCUCACUCUCGCAUCCACUCCUCUCGCCUCCCUCUUCUUGGAACUGAGGAGCAGCUCCAGCCACAAGACAUGUCCUGCUACAACCCGUGCCUGCCCUGCCAGCCCUGCGGCCCAACCCCGCUGGCCAACAGCUGCAAUGAGCCCUGUGUCCAGCAGUGCCAGGACUCCAGAGUUGUCAUCGAGCCCCCAGCUGUGGUGGUGACCCUGCCUGGCCCCAUCCUCAGCUCCUUCCCGCAGAACACCGCUGUGGGCUCCUCCACCUCCGCUGCUGUUGGCAGCAUCCUCAGCUCUCAGGGAGUGCCCAUCAACUCCGGGGGCUUUGGGCCUGUCUGGCUUGGGCAGCGGCAUCUGUGGCACGAGGAGGUGUUUCCCCUGCUAAAUCUGAUGGUGAUGGCCCUGGGGAAGGAAACCAGGGACCUAAAGGAUAGGGCUGGACCGGAGACAAAUCAUCAGGUUGCUCCUUUCAGAUGGGCUGGGCAAGCCCAGCACCCUUUGUAAAAAGACAGGGCCAGCCUGGGCUCUCAGAAAGCACAGCCCAUGCUGUCUUUCCCUUCUCCCCAUGUCUUCUCUCCCUCUUGUGUCUCUGUUCUCUUGUGCUCCCCUGGGCUGUGAGCCCCACAAAGCCAGCCUAGGGAGGACCUGCUGGCCCUCCUCCCUCUGUGGGACAGGCAGAUGGACACCUGGCUGGAUCUGUACCACAACCAUGGGUCACAUACUCCUGUCUGCCCCGGUGUUCUGGCUACUGGAGCUGCCCUCAGAGCCACCUUAUUUUGUUUUCUUUUGUCUCAUUAAAGUUCUUCUGCAUCCCAGCCCAUGCCUUUUUCUCAUCAUGCUCAGGCCUGGUUAUCGGAUCAGGUUGUUGGAGAAGGUUGUGCAGUGAUUGUCGACUACUUUGGUAUUGACUGUACUUAGUCAUGACUUGAGUGUAGCCUCUGGUUUCUAAACAUCUCUGCCUACGUGGGCUAUACUGGGGUAGAACAACACAAGGCAGUUCAGUCACUCCAUCACUUUGUUGUAUACACCUUUUCUUUUUCCUUGGGAAGCUCAAAAUUGUGAAGCAGUAGUGAGGAGAAGUAGGAAUGAAUGUGGUAUUGACAAGGCAGAGGCAAUACUGUCCCAGGAAAGUCCAGGACAACCUGUCUUAACCCCAGCCUUGAGACGUAGAAUUUUGGGGUGAGGGAAAGACCAGGUGGAAAAGAAAAGCUGGAGAACAGGAAGGGAAUAUACUGCCACAGCAUCUUUGGGAAAACUUGUCCCAAGACCUGGCGUGCACAGAUCGUACGAUCUUCUAGUAGGUGCGGAGAUGCCUUCUGCAGUCCUUUCUUACCUUACUCAGAACAUUCAGGACAGCUCCUGCACACUGCCUGUCUUCUUGCCUGAGAACCUGAGCUCCUUCUCCUCAUUGCUGGCCCUCUAUCCAGUGGGCCAAGAAGGCACAAAAAGGCUGUCCUGGCACCAUACAAUCAGAGCAUAAUCAAGUUGCAAAUGACCUUCAGAGAUCAUUGGUCUCAAGCCAUGAGUGCCUGUCCUGGUUUUGUUUUAAAACAAGACUAGUUUCUCUUGUAGUGAAUUUUCCUUUCAGCUAAGUUCUUCUAAGUAACUGCACUUUUCUGAAUUUGGCUGCGUUUUUUUGAGACUCUUCGCUCUGGAGCUCAUAACGGUAGCAAUGACAUGCAGGAGAGGCCCAGGUUUACACUUAUUGCUAUGGCAGUCAAGGUUACUGAUAAAUAUUGCACGUCCCAUAAGUGAGAGGGGUGUAUUUGCAAGGAGGAGCAAACAGAACAGGUGACUAAAAUUGACCGAGUAUUCCGCCCCACACACAUCAUACACCCUGUAAGAGUGAGAGAUCACAAGGGUCUCGUCCUCUUCAACCAUGGCCGCCAUCUGAAGAGGACCCUGCUUGUCGUGCCUGCUAUCCUGGGCCUGGUUUCCAGACCCUGCAUCUCUGAAUCCAGUUCUGGUUAGUCGAAGAGUCCAGCCCAGGUCUUCCGGGUGCCUGUCCUGCAGCUGUGAGGGUGAAAAAUCAUGGACUCCACACAAUCCAAUAUGAAUUCAAGCAAAGCCAUUUAUUACAGAAACAAGCCUCCUUAUAUAUGCAGUUAUUUCCUGAUCACGCAUCCACGCUACAAGCAUGCAUUCGCUGAUUGGAUAUUGUCUAUGUUCAUGAGCUGCCCACGCGCCCGAGUCUCACUGCUAAUAGGUCUCUUGAUUUAUGUCUUCUUGAGGCCCUGUCAUUGCAGAACUGCCUCACUCCCACAGCAGCUCCUGUUUUCAGCUUUCCCAGGUGGCCUUGAAAUUCCUUUGGGCCUGGCUAGUUCGGUAACAAACCUCCAUCUAACAGAAACCCAUCCACACAUUAACUUCAGAAAUUCCCUCAAAUCUCCCACAUGCAGCCACUGGAGUGACACCGGCUCCAUGGUGGGAAACACUGCAUUACCCCAGGAAAUUCAAGACUGGUUUUGUAUAUUUUGUAUUAUUUUCUCUGUUUAUUAGUAGCAUAAGUAAAUCAUUUUUAACCUUC